GGCAAGGCUUUGUCGGGGAGGUAGGCGCUCCCUGUUACUGUGAAACCGUCUAUAGCAGGAUGAAGCAGUUCCGGCGGUGUCUGGGACUUUAGUGUCUGCUGACUUUUCCGAACGUUGAUACCCUGCCCUUUAUGACUCAUAUGAUAUCGAACCGUGCCAGGCCCUGACGGGAGCAACACUAAGGUAUCGUAUGGGUGCUUAGAGGAUACAGGGUGGAGGUAGGUGGGUCGGUAAGGCUUUGGUCUCUGCAUCCACGGGACUGCAUGCCUUGCC
This 273-nucleotide signal recognition particle RNA is filed under the name Candidatus Terrarchaeum hikurangii. Its description in RNAcentral is "signal recognition particle sRNA". It matches the Rfam family "Archaeal signal recognition particle RNA". Lineage: Archaea; Nanobdellati; Candidatus Terrarchaeota; Candidatus Terrarchaeia; Candidatus Terrarchaeales; Candidatus Terrarchaeaceae. The record is from RNAcentral.